AUACGAAGGGAGCUAGCGUUGUUCGGAAUCACUGGGCGUAAAGCGCACGUAGGCGGGCUGGUCAGUUGGGGGUGAAAUCCCAAGGCUCAACCUUGGAACUGCCUUCAAUACUGCCAGUCUACGAGUCCGGGAGAGGUGAGUGGAAUUCCUAGUGUAGAGGUGAAAUUCGUAGAUAUUAGGAAGAACACCAGUGGCGAAGGCGGCUCACUGGCCCGGUACUGACGCUGAGGUGCGAAAGCGUGGGGAGCAAACAGGAUUAGAAACCCCAGUAGUCC
Molecule: ribosomal RNA, 275 nt
Filed under: uncultured bacterium
Lineage: Bacteria
Description: partial 16S ribosomal RNA
Rfam family: Bacterial small subunit ribosomal RNA
Source: RNAcentral